UAGUCCACGCCGUAAACGAUGGUUACUAGCUGUUUGUCUUUCGGGAUGAGUGGCUAAGCGAAGGUGAUAAGUAACCCACCUGGGGAGCACGAUCGCAAGAUUGAAACUCAAAGGAAUUGACGGGGGGCCCGCACAAGCGGUGGAGCAUGUGGUUUAAUUCGAUGAUACGCGAGGAACCUUACCAGGGCUUAAAUGUGGAUUGACAGGUUUAGAGAUAGACUUUUCUUCGGACAAUUCACAAGGUGCUGCAUGGUUGUCGUCAGCUCGUGCCGUGAGGUGUCAGGUUAAGUCCUAUAACGUAGCGCAACCCCUGUUGUUAGUUACCAGCACGUAAAGGUGGGGACUCUAACAAGACUGCCGGUGCAAACCGUGAGGAAGGUGGGGAUGACGUCAAAUCAUCACGGCCCUUACGUCCUGGGCUACACACGUGCUACAAUGGUAGGUACAGAGAGCAGCCACUACGCAAGUAGGCGCGGAAUCUAUAAAACCUAUCUCAGUUCGGAUCGGAGUCUGCAAC
RNAcentral lists this ribosomal RNA (517 nucleotides) under uncultured bacterium. RNAcentral's name for it is "bacterial SSU rRNA". It matches the Rfam family "Bacterial small subunit ribosomal RNA", at positions 791 to 1311 of the family's 1533-position model. The record is from RNAcentral.